RNAcentral lists this ribosomal RNA (429 nucleotides) under Gemmatimonadota bacterium. RNAcentral's name for it is "Gemmatimonadetes bacterium partial 16S ribosomal RNA". It matches the Rfam family "Bacterial small subunit ribosomal RNA", at positions 355 to 776 of the family's 1533-position model. The record is from RNAcentral. Lineage: Bacteria; Pseudomonadati; Gemmatimonadota.
UAGGGAAUCUUCGGCAAUGGACGAAAGUCUGACCGAGCAACGCCGCGUGAGUGAAGAAGGUUUUCGGAUCGUAAAACUCUGUUGUUAGAGAAGAACAAGGACGUUAGUAACUGAACGUCCCCUGACGGUAUCUAACCAGAAAGCCACGGCUAACUACGUGCCAGCAGCCGCGGUAAUACGUAGGUGGCAAGCGUUGUCCGGAUUUAUUGGGCGUAAACCGAGCGCAGGCGGUUUCUUAAGUCUGAUGUGAAAGCCCCCGGCUCAACCGGGGAGGGUCAUUGGAAACUGGGAGACUUGAGUGCAGAAGAGGAGAGUGGAAUUCCAUGUGUAGCGGUGAAAUGCGUAGAUAUAUGGAGGAACACCAGUGGCGAAGGCGGCUCUCUGGUCUGUAACUGACGCUGAGGCUCGAAAGCGUGGGGAGCAAACAGG